CUGUCUAUCACAGUAUAAAGAAUACUUUUUACAUACAUCUUGUCAUUUCCUUGUUCUGCCCUGCGUGGUAUUACAGUGAGCCCGUAUAUACGAAAGUUGCAUUUGCCAUUUAUUACUUAGCUAAUAAAAAAUACAUAGUAUACAAUCGGUGACUCAUUGUUAUAUUUAUCCUGAUACCAGAUUCGAAUUUACUCUAACAAGAGUAGGACUCGGGUUCAGGAGAGUAGGACUCGGGUUCAGGAAGGCAGGACUCGGGUUCAGGAGAGCAGGACUCUUGAUCAGGAGAGCAGGACUCUUGAUCAGGAGAGCAGGAUUCGGGUUCAGGAGAGCAGGACUCGGGUUCAGGAGAGCAGGACUCUUGAUCAGGAGAGCAGGACUCGGGUUCAGGAGAGUAGGACUCUGGUUCAGGAGAGCAGGACUCGGGUUCAGGAGAGCAGGACUCGGGUUCAGGAGAGCGAUUUGAACUAUGAGGAUUUCGACUCAGCCGACAAAGAUUGCUUUCAAGAAGGAUUGGGUCCACUUUUAGAUCUAGUGGAGGAUGCAGAGGAUUUGGAUGAUGACGUUUGGGAGCCACCCCACUCCAGUAAGCGCCCCCGAUGGUUAAGGUCUUCAUCCUCCACUGCUAUGUCAAUCACCCUGUCUGAUGGUUCUACAUCCACUUUUCAUAGACCUCUUGAAAAAUAAAAUAGGGGCUUGUGGCACCAUUCGUCCUAACAGAAUCAGAUUCCCCAAGACCCAGAGGGACUGCUUCAAAGACUAUCAAGACAUGCACAAGCUACGGUGAAAGGGAAAUCUAAUCAGCUACACCUGGGACGUAAAACGAACAGGAAUGCCAUUUGUAAAUAAUUCACCUUGUUUCUAUUUUUGCACCUUGAAGGACACAAUGUUUUGAUAAGGCAUUUUUAUAUAUAUUUGAAUGUAAAUCUGUUGCUUUUAUGUUGUUUUUGUAAACAGUUCAUUUGUAUGUGGGACCAAUACAUUGGAUAUGCCCAGGGUAAACAUUCAGGCACUGUGGAGAGGCUGAAAAAAACAACACUUGGAUAUCCCCUGUAUGUUCCCUUAACCAACAAUUCAGUUUAAGAAAAUAGAGUUAAGAAAAUAUUUACGAAAUAAACUAAAGUAAAUAUAAAUAACACAAAAUAGCAAUAAUGAGGCUAUAUACAGGGGUAACAGGUACCGAGUCAAUGUGUGUGUGUGGGGGGGGGGUGCAGGUAAGUCUAGGUCAUUUGUACGUAUAGGUAAGGGUAAAGGGACUAUGCAUAGAUAAUAAACAGCCACGAGCAGCAGUGUAAAAACACUUUUUCUUAAACCUUUAUUUAACCAGGAAAGGCCCAUCAAGACCCAGAGUUUCUUUUUCCAAGGAGACCUGGCCAAGAAGGAAGCAACAAUCAAUACAUGGCAUAAUUCUAAAAAUACAACAAAGCUCUGGCGAAGGCCGUGUGGCCGAUAUGUAAGCUUAUUAAAUAUAGGUGAUCCUAUCAA
This is a long non-coding RNA of Oncorhynchus tshawytscha (Chinook salmon), 1482 nucleotides long. The record is from Ensembl. NCBI's taxonomy places the organism in Eukaryota, Metazoa, Chordata, Actinopteri, Salmoniformes, Salmonidae.